This 465-nucleotide ribosomal RNA is filed under the name uncultured bacterium. RNAcentral describes it as "partial 16S ribosomal RNA". It matches the Rfam family "Bacterial small subunit ribosomal RNA", at positions 28 to 507 of the family's 1533-position model. The record is from RNAcentral.
GACGAACGCUGGCGGCGUGCUUAACACAUGCAAGUCGAACGGAAAGGCCCCUUUGGGGGUUCUCGAGUGGCGCACGGGUGAGUAACACGUGUGUAACCUGCCCUUGACUUCGGGAUAACUUCAGGAAACUGGGGCUAAUACCGGCUAGGAAUCCUUGCUGCAUGGUGGGGGUUGGAAAGCUUCGGCGGUUUUGGAUGGACUCGCGGCUUAUCAGCUUGUUGGUGGGGUAGUGGCUUACCAAGGCUUUGACGGGUAGCCGGCCUGAGAGGGCGACCGGCCACCUUGGGACUGAGAUACGGCCCAGACGCCGACUGGAGGCAGCAGUGGGGAAUAUUGCACAAUGGGCGGAAGCCUGAUGCAGCAACGCCGCGUGCGGGAUGACGGCCUUCGGGUUGUAAACCGCUUUCAGCAGGGGCGAAGCUUGUGGUGACGGUACCUGCAGAAGAAGCACCGGCUAACUACGUG